UUUGUGCUGUUUUUUGAAAAUGUCUAUUAGUGCAAUACUGGUGCAAGUUUUUUUACAAUGUUAUUUUAAGUUAUUUGUUAUGUGAAAAUCGCGUGUCAGAUACUGUAAUAGUGACACUAAUAUUUAAAAAUAAUAUUAAAGUUGAAGUGUUUUGUACCUCUUGUUUCGUCGCGAAAACGUAGCCAACUCUCUGCUGAAGAAACCCAUUGGAUGAAGUGAUGCAUCAUUCACUAUAAGUAUAAGGUGAUUCACCUGUGGAAAAAGGUACUAUUGGUAGUAACGAAUGCCAGUGCUUUACAGGAGUCUGAGAAAGAAAUUGUUGAUUUUUUGAAAAAUAAAAGGUUUGUCUACAGAUAUUGUUUCAGAAUCCAAAAGUAAUGUAUCAGUUGGCAAGAGGCUUCAAAUCUGUUUUAUAUCUGGGAAUUGCAGUAUUUGCUGGUUCCAUGUUUGUUUUCUUGAUAUCUCCAAGUCCCGAGAAGAUAUUAAAGAAACUACCUGGAAUUCAAAUGACAGAUGAAGAACAAAUUGCAGAAGGAAAUUUUAUUUCAAACUUACUAGAACAAACACCAAACAAUAGUGAAGAAAAACAAGAAUCACAAAAAUAA
Long non-coding RNA from Limulus polyphemus (Atlantic horseshoe crab), 605 nucleotides. RefSeq lists it as uncharacterized. The transcript has 5 exons. The record is from RefSeq and is a predicted model, not a curated record. NCBI's taxonomy places the organism in Eukaryota, Metazoa, Arthropoda, Merostomata, Xiphosura, Limulidae.